This 210-nucleotide unclassified non-coding RNA is filed under the name Hevea brasiliensis (rubber tree). Lineage: Eukaryota; Viridiplantae; Streptophyta; Magnoliopsida; Malpighiales; Euphorbiaceae. The record is from RNAcentral.
GGGGUGCGGACUAUUGCUUCGAAUGCAUUGGCUUAGCAUCUAUAAUGAAUGAUGCAUUCCAAAGUUCUAGAAAGGGUUGGGGAAAGACAAUCAUUCUAGGAGUGGAAAUGCAUGGAUCACCCUUAUCUAUUAGUGCUCCUGAAAUUUUGCAAGGAAAAUGUAUCACAGGUUCAUUGUUUGGGGGAAUCAAAGCCAAGAGGGAUAUUCCGG